This 215-nucleotide long non-coding RNA is filed under the name Panax ginseng (ginseng). RNAcentral describes it as "long non-coding RNA (PGIN_LNC003492)". The record is from RNAcentral. Lineage: Eukaryota; Viridiplantae; Streptophyta; Magnoliopsida; Apiales; Araliaceae.
UCCAGUUGUCAGUGGUGAUGUUGCCUUCAAGGUUCGCGAUAGAGGUUACAUCUUAAUUUUGAAUAACUUCGCUUAUGGCCAUAAGUUGAUCGCCCCCUGAUGCAGUACAUUCCUCACGGACGCUUGAACUGGACCCAUCGUAAAAAGGGAUGAACUCUGGAUUCUUCAAUGGGUUGGCUUCCCCGAUAAUCUCACCAUCUUUUCUUUCAUCUGUU